UAACAGCAACAAUCCUUUUUCUAUGCCUACAUAACAGCAACAAUCCUUUCUCCAUCCACGCCUGCAUAACUUUAUCACCCCCUUUCUCCAUUCAUUCUCACUUGAUAUAACAGCCAAAAUUCUUAUUCAUGCCAAAAAAUAUCCAUUUAUACCAAGCCAUCUCUGGCUGUUAUAUCAUGCUCAUGGAGGUGACAUAGUGCAAUACAUUGAUUGCUUACAUAUUCAUUCAAUUGAUUGUGAUGUGUGUAAGAGAAAGAAUGGAUAAAAUGUGUACAAGCCAAGGUGUAAGAGAAAAGCUUAGUGUUUAUGAAGGAAGUGGAUAAAAUGUGUAUAAGCCAAGGUGUAAGAGAAAGCUUGGUGUUAAUGAUAAAAUGUAAAAGACAUCAGUAUUAGUUUGCUCUCAAAUGAAAACCAAUCAACUGCAGAUUACUUUCUAUCAUGACUUUCUGUUCAAGCCAUUUCUAUCACCUGAUAAGGUCUAAAUGAAAAAAACAGCAUCAGCACUUGAUAGCCAUCUUGCAGACUCUGUAGACAUUGAAAUAAAAGUAUACUUAGUCUUACAUGAGAAAUCUCUAUGCUAUCAAACUUGUCUCAUACAUUCUGAAAUCAGAAACAUGUUAGUUUUUCCUUUCAGAACUAGUAAAAAAAAAAAAAAAAAUAUAUAUAUAAA
Biomphalaria pfeifferi is the source of this 670-nucleotide non-coding RNA. Lineage: Eukaryota; Metazoa; Mollusca; Gastropoda; Planorbidae. The record is from the annotation of a GenBank genome assembly.